UCCUACGGGAGGCAGCAGUGGGGAAUCUUAGACAAUGGGCGCAAGCCUGAUCUAGCCAUGCCGCGUGAGUGAUGAAGGCCUUAGGGUCGUAAAGCUCUUUCGCCAGAGAUGAUAAUGACAGNNNCUGGUAAAGAAACCCCGGCUAACUCCGUGCCAGCARCCGCGGUAAUACGGAGGGGGUUAGCGUUGUUCGGAAUUACUGGGCGUAAAGCGCGCGUAGGCGGACUAGUCAGUCAGAGGUGAAAUCCCAGGGCUCAACCCUGGAACUGCCUUUGAUACUGCUAGUCUUGAGUUCGAGAGAGGUGAGUGGAAUUCCGAGUGUAGAGGUGAAAUUCGUAGAUAUUCGGAGGAACACCAGUGGCGAAGGCGGCUCACUGGCUCGAUACUGACGCUGAGGUGCGAAAGCGUGGGGAGCAAACAGGAUUAGAUACCC
RNAcentral lists this ribosomal RNA (433 nucleotides) under uncultured bacterium. RNAcentral's name for it is "bacterial SSU rRNA". It matches the Rfam family "Bacterial small subunit ribosomal RNA", at positions 337 to 787 of the family's 1533-position model. The record is from RNAcentral.